GUCUUAAAAGAGGUUGGUUGGGAAACUUUAGAGGAACGAAGAAAAAGAAGAAAACUACAAUUAUUUUAUAAAAUUCAGAAUAAUAAUGCCCCUGAAUAUUUAUGUAACCUUGUGCCCCCUAAAAUUCAAAGUACAACACAAUAUCCCUUGCGAAAUGGACAAGAUAUCAUUUUACCAUUUUGCAGGCUGACUCUAACUUCCCAAUCCUUUAUCCCAUCAACAAUUAAACUUUGGAAUAAUUUGAACAUAGCAGUUCGAAAUGUAGACUCGUUAUCAAAAUUCAAAGUAGAACUAAAAAACUACGACAUUCGAAAUGAGAAUCAAUCUAACUUAAAACAUUAUUUAUAUGGUCCAAGAAAAUUGAACAUAAUAUUAACCCAAUUUAGAUGUUCGGCAUCGUUCUUGAAUUGUGACUUGUUUAGAGCUAACAUUAUAUCUGAUCCAACAUGUAAAUGUGGUUUAGAUAUUGAGGACAUGCACCAUUUUUUCUUUGAUUGUCCUUUCUAUCUAAAUGAAAGGGCUAUUCUGUUUAAUGGUCUCAGCUGGCUUCCCGAAGGCUGCGAUUUGGACUUAACACUACUGGUUUUUGGAAGAGACACUCUUUCCUAUGAUCAAAAUGUGCAAAUUGUUAAACAAGUAUUCAAUUUUAUAAAGAGAUCAAAACGAUUCCUCGUAGUAUAGUAUCAACAUAGGUAAAACACAC
Molecule: long non-coding RNA, 703 nt
Filed under: Mytilus galloprovincialis (Mediterranean mussel)
Lineage: Eukaryota; Metazoa; Mollusca; Bivalvia; Mytilida; Mytilidae
Source: RNAcentral